GUUUAGGUAGUUUAAGUAGAACAUAACGCUGAAGAUGUUAUAGUGGGUUAAUGCCCCCUGAACA
RNAcentral lists this transfer RNA (64 nucleotides) under Donax trunculus (truncated wedgeshell). RNAcentral's name for it is "tRNA-Phe". It matches the Rfam family "tRNA". Rfam says of the family: Transfer RNA (tRNA) molecules are approximately 80 nucleotides in length. Their secondary structure includes four short double-helical elements and three loops (D, anti-codon, and T loops). The record is from RNAcentral. Lineage: Eukaryota; Metazoa; Mollusca; Bivalvia; Cardiida; Donacidae.